AUAACAGGGAUUGUCAUAUCAGAGAGACACCCCCAGACCCCCCGGACCACACCAUCACACAGUGACAAGAGCUCACAGGGCACACAAUCAAGUGUUCCCCCGCCCCCACUGCCCCUGGGGCAGCCUCACUCCUGGGACCCCCUGGAGCUGGGCGCAGCCGGUGGCCGUCAGCGCCAGCGGCAGGGCCCCCCGCGGCACACGUGCACUCGCCGCCCGCAGCCGCACCCCGCGCACACGCCGGCGGGGCUAACGAGCCCACAGGCCUCCAGGGCGGGAUGAAGCCAGUUGUCGGGCGGGGCCGCGGCGGUCACACAGCAUUAGCCCUGCGGCCGCCCCGCCAGGCCCGCUGGAGUCACAAGCCCCAUCCCAGACUCUCCAACGCUGGACCUGCAGCGCCCAGCCCUGCCCUGGUGCUACCACCUGCCAGCUCUGUGCCUGCCCCUCCACUAGAUCAUGACUUCGGCUCCAGCUCCCUCACUCUCCAUGCCUCUCACUUGCGGGUUGUGCCCUGCUCAGCUGGCCAGACUUUGGCCCCCUCCCUACCUGGAUUUGUGAAGCCCCAAAUUUCAUCUCCCCCACCACACUUAUUCACAGCCUCCGCCUGCUGACAUACCCAGGCAAGACUCCCUUCCCCUCCAGGCAGCCAAACUUCAGUUCGAAUCUUCUGGCUCUUACCAGACCCCUGAUGAAUCCCAGGAUCUUCGCAGGUGGUCCCAGGGCCUCUUUGAACCACAGUUUUACUUAUCUGAAAAAUAAAAAGGC
This 762-nucleotide long non-coding RNA is filed under the name Homo sapiens (human). RNAcentral's name for it is "non-protein coding lnc-SERGEF-2:4". The record is from RNAcentral. Lineage: Eukaryota; Metazoa; Chordata; Mammalia; Primates; Hominidae.